This 255-nucleotide ribosomal RNA is filed under the name uncultured bacterium. Its description in RNAcentral is "partial 16S ribosomal RNA". It matches the Rfam family "Bacterial small subunit ribosomal RNA", at positions 524 to 776 of the family's 1533-position model. The record is from RNAcentral.
UACGGGGGGGGGCAAGCGUUUGUUCGGAAUUACUGGGCGUAAAGGGCUCGUAGGCGGCCAACUAAGUCGGAUGUGAAAUCCCCAGGCUUAACCUGGGAACUGCAUCCGAUACUGGAUGGCUUGAAUCCGGGAGAGGGAUGCAGAAUUCCAGGUGUAGCGGUGAAAUGCGUAGAUAUCUGGAGGAAUACCGGUGGCGAAGGCGGCAUCCUGGACCGGCAUUGACGCUGAUGAGCGAAAGCUAGGGGAGCAAACGGG